Molecule: long non-coding RNA, 1335 nt
Organism: Felis catus (domestic cat)
Lineage: Eukaryota; Metazoa; Chordata; Mammalia; Carnivora; Felidae
Exons: 3
Source: RefSeq, a predicted model, not a curated record
CAGGUGUUGUCCUAGAGCUUUUUAUGGAUGCUGUCCUGUUUGUCAUCACAGCUCUGAGAAGCAGGUGUGAUUUCUUCUAAUUUGAAAACACAGGAGUAGAAGCUUAGAAAGAAGCAGUGACCUAUUCAUGUUCUCUCAGACAGACGAUGGUGAGACUGAGAAAGGAACUCAGAGCCGGGAGAAGCAAGUCCUAUCUUCCGGCCAACUCACAGCCACGUGGUCUACCAGUGCACUUGGCAUUAAGGGUUGAAUCGUAUCCCUGGCUCAAAUGCACGUGUUGAAAUCCUAACCUCUCAGUGCCUCAGAAUAUAACUUGAUUUGGAGACCGGGUGUUUACAGAGGCAACCAAGAUAAAGCAAGGUCAUUCUGGUGGGCUCUAAUCAAAUAUGACUGUUGUGCUUCUUCUAAGAAGGGGAAAGUUGGACACAGACAUGUACAGACGGAAGACGAUGUGACCAGGUGAAGAUACUGGGGGAAUGCCAUUGAACAUGAAGACAACCAAGCCAAGGGGAGAGGCCUGGAACAGAGCCCCCCCCCCCCCCCCCCUCACAGCCCUCAGAAAGAACCAGCCGUCCCAACCAACACCUUGAUUUGGGACUUCCAGCCUCCAGGAGAUGAGACAAGAAAUUUCUGUUGGUUAAGCCACCCAGGCUGUGAUACUUGGUUACAGUAGCCCUAGCAAACAAAUACAGCUGGCUGCCUGGUGAACAUAAUAAAUGUCAAUUGUGAUGCGGAAAGGGGUACCGCUAAGAACACAGGGAAGUUUGAGGCCACUAUAUGGCUUUGAGGAAGGGAAUAGGGAAGAGGGGGCAAUGCCCAGGAGGAAAGACGUCCCACAAAGUCCUGCUGCCUUCCUGCCCCUGGGGCCUUUGCCCGCCCUACUACUAGGAAUAAAUCUACAAGGCUGCCUUUUAAUUUCUACUAUUGUGGAGAGUAUGACUUGGUGACACUUUACUUAGUACUCGGAGCUUCUCUACAGCCCCACGGGUUGGGAGUCUCUGUGCUAUGACUGAUAUCCUCGCUCUAGAGAAAUUUUGUGCCAGAACUUGGAAUGAAAUUGGAUAGAGAAAUUGGUCUCUCCUGGCCCCCUUCCUGAUCGGCCCCAUCAGUCAAAUGCAGCAGACUGCAACGAUACUAGAAGUUUUUCACUGAAGAGUCAGAGCACAGUAACAAAAGUGGAUGACCAACCUGGAAGAAACUAACAGAAUCAAGAGCACUGCCUGGCUUUUCUUUCCUUACUUCAGUAAAUAUUUCAUAGAACAUCACUGAGCCCGGAAUUUCCUAAGUAAAGUGAGCAACUAAAUGAACAAUAAAAAUGGUUAUCACAUGCAUCUA